This 378-nucleotide ribosomal RNA is filed under the name Salmonella enterica subsp. enterica serovar Dublin. RNAcentral's name for it is "partial 16S ribosomal RNA". It matches the Rfam family "Bacterial small subunit ribosomal RNA", at positions 108 to 482 of the family's 1533-position model. Lineage: Bacteria; Pseudomonadati; Pseudomonadota; Gammaproteobacteria; Enterobacterales; Enterobacteriaceae. RNAcentral also lists the same sequence under 1 other name. The record is from RNAcentral.
GAGUAAUGUCUGGGAAACUGCCUGAUGGAGGGGGAUAACUACUGGAAACGGUGGCUAAUACCGCAUAACGUCGCAAGACCAAAGAGGGGGACCUUCGGGCCUCUUGCCAUCAGAUGUGCCCAGAUGGGAUUAGCUUGUUGGUGAGGUAACGGCUCACCAAGGCGACGAUCCCUAGCUGGUCUGAGAGGAUGACCAGCCACACUGGAACUGAGACACGGUCCAGACUCCUACGGGAGGCAGCAGUGGGGAAUAUUGCACAAUGGGCGCAAGCCUGAUGCAGCCAUGCCGCGUGUAUGAAGAAGGCCUUCGGGUUGUAAAGUACUUUCAGCGGGGAGGAAGGUGUUGUGGUUAAUAACCGCAGCAAUUGACGUUACCCGC